Molecule: long non-coding RNA, 1262 nt
Filed under: Salmo salar (Atlantic salmon)
Lineage: Eukaryota; Metazoa; Chordata; Actinopteri; Salmoniformes; Salmonidae
Description: lncRNA (ENSSSAG00000100654.1)
Source: RNAcentral
AUUUCCUGUUGUGCUUGUGCGUUUGUUUUGCACCGCAUGUUGUUUCCCCUGUGUUUGGGACACUUUAUUUUGUGUGCGCAUUAUUUCACUGUUUGGGGUGGCUUGUGUGUGCUCGCCUGUUUGAACCAUUAAAUAGCCACUUCCCUGUGCUCGCUGCUUCCUGCGUUUGAUUCCUCACUCACGACGCCCGAGCCUUACACACCCAAGGAUGAACCAGACUUGUGGAGGUCUACAAUUUUCUUUCUGAGGUCUUGGCUGUUUUCUUUUGAUUUUCCCAUGAUGUCAAGCAAAGACACACUGAGUUUGAAGUGUCGAUCCUUACAGUUUGAUUAAUUCACUUCAUCUCCCCCCACUGUCUGAGCUUUGCUGAAUGGAGAGAGGGAUAGUGGAUAUAUCUAAAGUCAGAUAAAGAAAUAGUGGAGACCUUUAAAGCAAGAACAACAGGAGGAGCAGCAGGAGGAGCGGAGACCAAUACUAUUCAGAUCUUGUUUGCAGACAUUCUGGUUAAACUGAUCCUGUGGGUGGAAGGCUUCUUGGCUGCCAUCUUCUUCGGCACACUGGUGGCCAUCUUGGCUUUGUGGGUUGGCAUCUCCGUGCCCCUUACCUUCGUGGGCGCCUAGCCUACUUCGGCCUCGAGGCCUGUGAUUGAGCUGCCAGUGCGAACCAACUAUAUCACUCGGCAGAUCUAUGAAAAUUGAUUAAUCACCAAGCCCGUGCCUGGAAUCGGCUUGGGGGGGCAUCCUGACCUUCGGCUGCAUCUGCAUCCAGCACUUCUUCAUCCUCAACAGCAUCUGAUAAGAACAAGGGUCAAGUCUGCUACUCAACCAUGAGCCUGAAUUUGCCUAGUGGUGCUCGUAUAAUGAUUCCUAAAGAAACAAACAAGUAAUUGAUUGUUAAUGUAUAAUUAGCAUUUACAAUUAACUGAUAAGUAAAUACCUAAUCCUUUCUUUGAACUAAGGUCAACUCAGCCUCUAUGCAAGGAGACUGAAUUUGAUGGAAUACUUUUGAAAGGCACUGUAUAUGUACAUAUAUACCUCAAUUACCUCGUACCCCUACACAUCGACUCGGUACUUACCCUGUGUAUAUAGCCAAGUUAGUUUUACUCAUUGUGUAUUUAUUACUUGUGUUAUAAAUGUCUUUUUCUCUAUUUUUCUCUCUGCAUUGUUGGGAAGGGCCAGUAAAUAAGCAUUUCACUGUUGUUUACAACGCAAGUGACAAAUAAAAUUUGAUUUGAUUUGAUUUCCUGACUCUCUAUACCACAG